GCGCCCGUAGCUCAGCUGGAUAGAGCGUUUGACUACGGAUCAAAAGGUCGAGGGUUCGAAUCCUUCCGGGCGCGCCA
RNAcentral lists this transfer RNA (77 nucleotides) under Thermaerobacter sp. RNAcentral's name for it is "tRNA-Arg". It matches the Rfam family "tRNA". From Rfam's summary of the family: Transfer RNA (tRNA) molecules are approximately 80 nucleotides in length. Lineage: Bacteria; Bacillati; Bacillota; Clostridia; Eubacteriales; Clostridiales Family XVII. Incertae Sedis. The record is from RNAcentral.